CUCAUUGAAUAGUUCAAAUAUUCACUUUCCCUCUAUUAUAUUUUCCAUUUGACAAAUUCUUUGUAUUCCAUCUACUGCAUCUUCUUUUCUAGGUUUCACAUGUCAUUUCUUCUUCAGUUUCAUUUAUGGCAAAAACGAGUGGAGGUGGCGACGUAUAAUUCCGACCGGGGAUACGCGAUUCCGGCGAGGGGCGUCGUGGUCUGCAAUGAUGUUGCUUUGAGACUCGUGGCAUCAAAGGGUGGUGGAAGAAAGAAAAUCGCAGCCAGAGGUGGCGGUCACGUUUGAAAAUUUCUUUUAUUGACGAACUCAGGUUUUUCGCUUCAAAUCUGCUUGUGGGAUGUGAUUUUGAGGAGGACAAUUGAUCUAGGGAGGACCUUUAGGUUGAAAUUCACACAAGAUUAUAGAAUACUUCAAGGAAAUUCAAGAUGUCCUAAAAAUCAAGGCCAUGUAUAAUCCUCCAUAGCAGCCGAAGUCCGGCUUGGAAUGAACUUUGUUGAAUAUUACAAGUCAUCAUUUUUGUUUCAGCUAUUGCUUCGGUGACUGAAGCAACUUUGGAUGAUUAUGAAGAGGGGUUGAGAACUAACAGUGAAGCGCCUAAGACACUGAGGUUUUACUGUAUAUUACUUCAAUGAUUCCGGUGGGGAUGCAUUGAGCGCUAAGUUGUAUCCACUUGGUAGGUUGGUGGCUCUUAGAUGCGAAAAAAAUCUUGGAGAAGGAAUUGGUGAGGUCCAGGUAUGUAAAAUCUCUUUAUUCUGCAAAUUGUUGGCGAGAACUGAUAAUAUUUUACAUUUGGUUUAAUAUUUUUCUAUAUUGAUUUCAGAAAAAAAAAUUGUACAUAAUUUUAUUUAAAGUUUGUCCAUAAUAAUUUUCAUUUCAAAAUGUAAUUGUUUAUUUCAAGAGUUUAAUUGAAAUACACUGAUAGUGUAAAAAGAUUUUACACCGUCAGUUAAUCAUAGACGUCAGAUAUUAAAAGAAGUUUGACUUUUAUUUUAAAAAUCUAUAAAGUAAUACAAACGGAUGAUGGUGAUGAAUCAACGGUGUAAAACUUUUUACACUGACAAUGUAUAGUAAUUAAUCUCUUACGUCAAUCUAAUAUAAUCAUUUCAAAAUAUAUUUAUUUAUGCUACUAAUAUUUUUUUUAUAAUUAAAAUAAUAUUUACAAAUAUUAUGUUAUUAGUUGAUAUUUAUAAAAUUAAAUGAUUGCAUAAAUAUUUUUAAUAAAUAAUAUCAAAAUAAAUUUAAUAUUUACAUAUGGGAAAAUAUACGGUUGAUCCAAAUAUUUGCGUAUAUGGAAAAACUAUAUUUAUGUUCCAAAUAUAAAUAAAAAUAUUUGCAUAUAUGUCUUGUCUGAAGAAGAAAGGAAUUUGAAAGGUGAUGGAACAGGUGAAGAAGGUGCUAAUGAAGAAGGUACUGAUGUAAGUGACGAUGAAGAAAAUACCAACAAUUAUGAUGACUGAAGUACUCUCGAUCUGGAUCUUUUGUGUUUUGUUUGUUCUUCUAGUUCUUUUUGUGGGCUUUACCCUGAAUAUUUAUGUACUUUAUAGUGCUUUUGUCUGUAACCUAACUUUUGACUACUCUGCUAAUGUUUGUUUAAGUUUGUCAACUUUUUGGCUAAAAAGGGGAGUAGUUGUGUUUGA
Molecule: long non-coding RNA, 1637 nt
Organism: Lathyrus oleraceus (garden pea)
Lineage: Eukaryota; Viridiplantae; Streptophyta; Magnoliopsida; Fabales; Fabaceae
Exons: 5
Source: RefSeq, a predicted model, not a curated record